RNAcentral lists this transfer RNA (94 nucleotides) under Klebsiella terrigena. Its description in RNAcentral is "Raoultella terrigena tRNA-OTHER". Lineage: Bacteria; Pseudomonadati; Pseudomonadota; Gammaproteobacteria; Enterobacterales; Enterobacteriaceae. The record is from RNAcentral.
GCGCCCUUACAGGCGCUUUUUAUUGCGAAAGAAAUCAAGGGUUUUCGGCCUUCUAAGCCGUAGGUUACAGGUUCGAGCCCUGUAGGGCGUACCA